This 107-nucleotide small nuclear RNA is filed under the name Piliocolobus tephrosceles (Ugandan red Colobus). Lineage: Eukaryota; Metazoa; Chordata; Mammalia; Primates; Cercopithecidae. The record is from RNAcentral.
AUGCUCAUUUCGGCAGCACAUAUACUAAAAUUGGAACGAUACAUAGAAGAUUAGCAUGGCCCCUGUGCAAGGAUGACAUGCUAAUUCAUGAAGCGUUCCAUAUUUUU